This 265-nucleotide ribosomal RNA is filed under the name uncultured bacterium. RNAcentral's name for it is "partial 16S ribosomal RNA". It matches the Rfam family "Bacterial small subunit ribosomal RNA", at positions 793 to 1055 of the family's 1533-position model. The record is from RNAcentral.
GUCCUAGCCGUAAACGAUGUGGACUAGGUGUUGGAGGUGUUGAUCCCUCCAGUGCCGACGCUAACGCAUUAAGUCCACCACCUGGGGAGUACGGUCGCAAGACUGAAACUCAAAGAAAUUGACGGGGACCCGCACAAGCGGUGGAGCAUGUGGUUUAAUUCGAGGCUACGCGAAGAACCUUACCCAGGCUUGACAUGUAGCUGCAAUCCUAUGAAAGUAGGCCCUCCCGCAAGGGACGGUUACACAGGUGCUGCAUGGCUGUCGU